RNAcentral lists this ribosomal RNA (482 nucleotides) under uncultured bacterium. Its description in RNAcentral is "partial 16S ribosomal RNA". It matches the Rfam family "Bacterial small subunit ribosomal RNA", at positions 30 to 507 of the family's 1533-position model. The record is from RNAcentral.
AUUGAACGCUGGCGGCAUGCCUUACACAUGCAAGUCGAACGGUAACAGGUCUUCGGAUGCUGUCGAGUGGCGAACGGGUGCGUAAUACAUCGGAACGUGCCCGAUCGCGGGGGAUAACGAAGCGCAAGCUUUGCUAAUACCUCAUACGAUCUACGGAUGAAAGCGGGGUAUCUUCGGACCUCGCGCGGACGGUGCGGCCGCUGGCAGAUUAGGUAGUUGGUGGGAUAAAAGCUUACCAAGCCGACGAUCUGUAGCUGGUCUGAGAGGAUGAUCAGCCACACUGGGACUGAGACACGGCCCAGACUCCUACGGGAGGCAGCAGUGGGGAAUUUUGGACAAUGGGCGAAAGCCUGAUCCAGCAAUGCCGCGUGCAGGAUGAAGGCCUUCGGGUUGUAAACUGCUUUUGUACGGAACGAAAAGGUGCCUUCUAAUAAAGGGCGCUCAUGACGGUACCGUAAGAAUAAGCACCGGCUAACUACGUG